Molecule: long non-coding RNA, 1701 nt
Organism: Papaver somniferum (opium poppy)
Lineage: Eukaryota; Viridiplantae; Streptophyta; Magnoliopsida; Ranunculales; Papaveraceae
Exons: 4
Source: RefSeq, a predicted model, not a curated record
GACAAAUUUCUGAGGUUAAUAAUAAAAGAGAUAAGCUAGGUUGGAAUCCUGCUGAGAACAAUUUUCUCGACUUCAUUUUCCGACGCUAUUAGGCACUUCAUUACCUCCCUGGGUUCCUCUUCUUUCUCUGUUUCAUUCUUCUCGAUUGAAAUCUCUUCCCUUUUCUUUGUUCUUGACUUUAAUCAUCAUCAAUUUCCAACAGUAACAUGAAUUAAUUCCAGAUUGUUUCACAGAAAUCUCUUAACAAAUACCCCAGAAGUUCAAAUCAAACCCAAAAUUUUGAGAGCGUUUGAGAAAUGGGUUGAACUGAUUGGAUUAACUUACUUCUUCGAUUACAGAAAAGUUGGAAAUCUCAAUUUGGGGUUAGGGCUUGCCAUUUCAGUUAGGGUUUCCCAAGCUUUUCUCAAAAGCUUCAUGAUGCUCAUAGUCUUCUACUAAAUUGGUUUCGAUUUCCCUUCCUUAACAUGUUAGCAUUUCAAAUUUGAUUCCCUAAUUUACUUUAAGUGUUUGUGAGCUUCAAGUGUUUGUAAAAAUGUCAACCACCUGUAAAAAGACCAAUUUUCUCUAUAUGGGUUCGCCCCAGUACUCAGGAUCUCCCCCAUUGCUCAUGUGUAUAUAAGGAUCAUUGUGUUAGAUUUUAAGUUGUACAUGUUCACCUUACUGUUUUUGGUACUUGGUUCCCGAAUCAGUAUACUUAUUUCAUUUGUAGUGGGGUGAAUAGUCAUGCAUUGCAGACUUACUUAGUGAUGGUGUAUAUUUGUGCAAUUAGUUAAUAAGAGAAACAGUUACUUUUCUUGGUGCACUUAAUAAUUCUCACUGUGGCAUAUGCAGUCUUGAAGCAAGGUGUGAGUCUUCCUAUAAAAAGAAGUGAACUCGGUAACACUCAUGAUUCUGAAAGCACUCAACAGUCUUUAAGUCUUGACUCAACUAAAGGUUCAACUGAAUGGUGGAUGUCAAAGCUCGGAAUCGCUGGCAAUGUUCUUCUGAAAGAUGGUCAUCAAACUAUUGCUGGUGACUUGCAUUAUUUUCAUAUAUAAAUUCAAAAGAUGUCUCUAUAGCAAGGGCACGCACUGAUUUAAGCCUCUCAGCAUCACCUUCUUGGAAAAGAUAGUGGUGGCGUCAUUUGAGGCAAAGGGAGGUUGGGAUGGUGCAACGGAAGACCAAAAGACUGACAUUUAUGUCAUGAGUGAAGAGGUGCCCUAUGGUUACAGGUUGGUUGUGAAGAAUGGGUGUUGGCGGACUUGGCUAAGGACGUGACAACAUCAUAUUCUUCCUCCGCAUGAAUGAAAUUAUUUUGGGGUGUGUACCAAGCUGAUAUUUGGUAGUAGUGGUGGUAUUAUUCCAAUAACCAUAGAUCGCAUGACCAUUGAUGCAUCCACACCUGCAGCCAUGGACGCCACAACUGUAGCUGUUUUAAAUAUUCAGCAGGAUUCAGAUGUCAGCGAUAUCACUGAGUAAGCACAAUAUCGAGACAUGUGGGAGAUGAGCGAAAAGGAUGAAAAUAAACUUUAUGCAUCCGUCAGACCUUCUUCCUGUAUUGUUCAAACUGCUAACAUGCAAAAGGUGUCCAAAUGGGGACGUCAAUGCCUUCCCGUCCCAGCAGUCCUAUUGAGUUUCAUCGCUUUGAUAUGUUAAUUUCAGUAGAAAUACCAACAUUUCAUGGUAUAGCAUUUUACCAAAAAAUUAGAUUAUUUUUGACAA